GUGGGGGACCCCUCGUCAUGGGAAGGAGGGAGUGAGAAAGGAGGAGGGAGAGUAUGAAUGAGAGAGAGGGAGAAAAAAACGUCGGCCCCUAAUGACCUAUCUGCCCAGCAUGUCUGAUAUGGCUCAUUUGCUACCGGUGAGAGAGAACUAGACCGCUGCAUAUGAACGUUAGGACCAGGGCUGUUCUGAAGAGGGCUGUUUUGAGACUAAUGGAUAGGGUUAUUACUACCGCAAAUGAAAGUGCCCUUUGAGUACAAUAACCUAUUCGUUCUCAAAAGCUCCUUUCAACUGGAGCAAACUCACCUCUUCCACAGUACAGUACCAAUGACACAAAUGGUACACAGACAAAUGUGUAGCGCCCACCUGUUGGGGACGAGGAGGAUGAAUGGUGUGUUUACAUAUGAACUUUUCGUCAACAAACCUCUCUCUUUUGUUUGUUUGUACAUAUUCUACUCAAUGGUGUGUUCCUUUUAACCUUCUAGAUCAGUGUUUCUGGGUAGUCUUAAAAAAGAAAUCUACUUUGAAACAAAAGAAUGCACCUCACACACGUGGUUAUGGGCUUAUAGAAGAAGUUAUGUCAGAUACAGAGUUGAAAAUGUAUUCAAUGUUGAGUUUGCAUUCCAGUAUUACACUUUAGGUACAUCACAGAAGACUGAACUAUAACAAAACCGUUUGACAUAGAAACAUCGGAUUCAUCGGUGUAAUUUUUUUAAAUGUUUAAAAUGUUUAUUAAUUAUGCAAUUAUGAAAAAUAUUGAUAACAUUUCACCCAUGACGCCACUAGAGGGCGAUUUGUUCAUUUCACUGCAGGAACUAGUGAACUUUCUCCCUAAUCUGCGUACCAAAUGGCACCCGGUUUCCUAAGUAGGGCAUUACUUUUGACCAGGGCCCAGAGUAGUGCACCUUAUAGGGAACAGGGUGCUAUUUGGGAUACUUCCCUGGUUCUCAGUUCCUUUACUGACUCUUACCUGGAAUGACCUGUCUGUGUGCUGUACAUUUUCAGCUGUUUCUUAGCCGACUCUGGGUCGGUGCCAUGUGUGUAUUACGUCUCACUUUACCUGCGACUGUACAUAAGUAGCCUUGUCCGAGGAAGAACGGCUCACAGGGCAGGAGCUCCUGUUUCUGUAGAGUGUAGCAGCUUCAACGAACAUCCUUACAGGAAAAUCACACGUUUUUGGGAAAUACUUCACAGGAUGAUAUUAGUUUCAUGUGGAUUUUCACAAAAACCUUUCACAUGUGGAUUACAUUUUUUUCUAGGAGAGAUUCACAAGCCCUGCAAAAACAAAGUUACGAGCCUGAAACCUUGAACACAGACUGCUGACACCCCGUGGAAGCCAUAGACAUUGCAUCCAGGGAGCUCAUUUUCAAUAUGACCUUUCUAUUGCAAUUCUAAGAGGUCUCUCAAAGGAUUUGGAUUUUCUCCUACCAUAUGUUAUAUUCUCCUACCUUAUUUUAAUAUUUCUACAAAUGUCAAAGUGUUUACUUUCUAAUGGUACCAAUUAUAUGCAUAUCCUGGCUUCUGGGCCUGAGCUACAGGCAGUUUACUUUGGGAAUGUCAUUCAGACAGGAAGUGGAGAAAAAAGGGGCCUAGCCCUAAGAAGUUUAAAAAAGUGGAUAUUCUACAGUCCACAUGUCUGUUACUGUAUAUUCUACAGUCCACAUGACUGUUUCUGUAUAUUCUACAGUCCACAUGUCUGUUACUGUAUAUUCUACAGUCCACAUGUCUGUUACUGUAUAUU
Long non-coding RNA from Oncorhynchus tshawytscha (Chinook salmon), 1738 nucleotides. The record is from Ensembl. NCBI's taxonomy places the organism in Eukaryota, Metazoa, Chordata, Actinopteri, Salmoniformes, Salmonidae.